Molecule: ribosomal RNA, 433 nt
Filed under: uncultured bacterium
Lineage: Bacteria
Description: partial 16S ribosomal RNA
Rfam family: Bacterial small subunit ribosomal RNA
Source: RNAcentral
AACGAACGCUGGCGGCAUGCCUAACACAUGCAAGUCGAACGAGACCUUCGGGUCUAGUGGCGCACGGGUGCGUAACGCGUGGGAACCUGCCCUUAGGUUCGGAAUAACUCCCCGAAAGGGGUGCUAAUACCGGAUAAUGUCUUCGGACCAAAGAUUUAUCGCCUUUGGAUGGGCCCGCGUUGGAUUAGCUAGUUGGUAGGGUAAAAGCCUACCAAGGCGACGAUCCAUAGCUGGUCUGAGAGGAUGAUCAGCCACACUGGGACUGAGACACGGCCAAGACUCCUACGGGAGGCAGCAGUGGGGAAUAUUGGACAAUGGGCGAAAGCCUGAUCCAGCAAUGCCGCGUGAGUGAUGAAGGCCUUAGGGUUGUAAAGCUCUUUUACCCGGGAUGAUAAUGACAGUACCGGGAGAAUAAGCUCCGGCUAACUCCGUG